GAGUUUGAUCGUGGCUCAGGAUGAACGCUGGCGGCGUGCCUAAUACAUGCAAGUCGAGCGAACAGACGAGGAGCUUGCUCCUCUGACGUUAGCGGCGGACGGGUGAGUAACACGUGGAUAACCUACCUAUAAGACUGGGAUAACUUCGGGAAACCGGAGCUAAUGCCGAAUAAUAUAUUGAACCGCAUGGUUCAAUAGUGAAAAACGGUUUUGCUGUCACUUAUAGAUGGAUCCGCGCCGCAUUAGCUAGUUGGUAGGGUAACGGCUUACCAAGGCGACGAUGCGUAGCCGACCUGAGAGGGUGAUCGGCCACACUGGAACUGAGACACGGUCCAGACUCCUACGGGAGGCAGCAGUAGGGAAUCUUCCGCAAUGGGCGAAAGCCUGACGGAGCAACGCCGCGUGAGUGAUGAAGGUCUUCGGAUCGUAAAACUCUGUUAUUAGGGAAGAACAAUGUGUAAGUAACUAUGCACGUCUUGACGGUACCUAAUCAGAAAGCCACGGCUAACUACGUGCCAGC
RNAcentral lists this ribosomal RNA (520 nucleotides) under uncultured microorganism. Its description in RNAcentral is "bacterial SSU rRNA". It matches the Rfam family "Bacterial small subunit ribosomal RNA", at positions 9 to 512 of the family's 1533-position model. The record is from RNAcentral.